Myxocyprinus asiaticus (Chinese sucker) is the source of this 330-nucleotide long non-coding RNA. RefSeq lists it as uncharacterized. The transcript is spliced from 3 exons. NCBI's taxonomy places the organism in Eukaryota, Metazoa, Chordata, Actinopteri, Cypriniformes, Catostomidae. The record is from RefSeq and is a predicted model, not a curated record.
GAGAGUAGGCACAGCAGGGCUAAACACAAGGAUUAUUGGAGCAACAAGAGGUUUGAGGUGCCUGUAAAGUUUUCAAAAAGUUGUACAGUGCCAGGUUGUUUGCAUAUGAUUUCUAAUGAUCCUAACAUUAGACUCAGCUUGACACAGACUUUGCAGAUAGACUUAAAUCAAAAGCUGAUGCAGUGCCAGCUAUAUUGGACCCGGCAGUAAUGUCACAACAGACAAGUAACCUGGUGACUUUGGUGCACUGAGAUCUUCUAACACCCUGUAAAGAAAGAAAGAAAUGGUUACAAAAUAUGGCCUGGAAAAGCUAAUGGUUUUGGCAAGGUG